RNAcentral lists this ribosomal RNA (403 nucleotides) under uncultured bacterium. RNAcentral's name for it is "bacterial SSU rRNA". It matches the Rfam family "Bacterial small subunit ribosomal RNA", at positions 356 to 773 of the family's 1533-position model. The record is from RNAcentral.
GGGGAAUAUUGCGCAAUGGGGGAAACCCUGACGCAGCAACGCCGCGUGAUUGAAGAAGGCCUUCGGGUUGUAAAGAUCUUUAAUCAGGGACGAAACAAAUGACGGUACCUGAAGAAUAAGCUCCGGCUAACUACGUGCCAGCAGCCGCGGUAAUACGUAGGGAGCAAGCGUUAUCCGGAUUUACUGGGUGUAAAGGGCGCGCAGGCGGGCCGGUAAGUUGGAAGUGAAAUCUAUGGGCUUAACCCAUAAACUGCUUUCAAAACUGCUGGUCUUGAGUGAUGGAGAGGCAGGCGGAAUUCCGUGUGUAGCGGUGAAAUGCGUAGAUAUACGGAGGAACACCAGUGGCGAAGGCGGCCUGCUGGACAUUAACUGACGCUGAGGCGCGAAAGCGUGGGGAGCAAAC